Molecule: ribosomal RNA, 467 nt
Filed under: uncultured bacterium
Lineage: Bacteria
Description: partial 16S ribosomal RNA
Rfam family: Bacterial small subunit ribosomal RNA
Source: RNAcentral
GACGAACGCUGGCGGCGUGCUUAACACAUGCAAGUCGAACGGAAAGGCUCCAGCUUGCUGGAGUACUCGAGUGGCGAACGGGUGAGUAACACGUGGGUAAUCUGCCCUGCACUCUGGGAUAAGCCUGGGAAACUGGGUCUAAUACUGGAUAUGACCUUUCUCCUUAUGGGGUUUGGUGGAAAGUUUUUCGGUGUAGGAUGAGCCCGCGGCCUAUCAGCUUGUUGGUGGGGUGAUGGCCUACCAAGGCGACGACGGGUAGCCGGCCUGAGAGGGUGAUCGGCCACAUUGGGACUGAGAUACGGCCCAGACUCGUACGGGAGGCAGCAGUGGGGAAUAUUGCACAAUGGGCGGAAGCCUGAUGCAGCGACGCCGCGUGAGGGAUGACGGCCUUCGGGUUGUAAACCUCUCUCAGCAGGGACGAAGCGUAAGUGACGGUACCUGCAGAAGAAGCACCGGCUAACUAUGUG